Molecule: ribosomal RNA, 486 nt
Filed under: uncultured bacterium
Lineage: Bacteria
Description: partial 16S ribosomal RNA
Rfam family: Bacterial small subunit ribosomal RNA
Source: RNAcentral
AUUGAACGCUGGCGGCAUGCCUUACACAUGCAAGUCGAACGGCAGCACGGGUGCUUGCACCUGGUGGCGAGUGGCGAACGGGUGAGUAAUACAUCGGAACAUGUCCUGUAGUGGGGGAUAGCCCGGCGAAAGCCGGAUUAAUACCGCAUACGAUCUACGGAUGAAAGCGGAGGACCUUCGGGCCUCGCGCUAUAGGGUUGGCCGAUGGCUGAUUAGCUAGUUGGUGGGGUAAAGGCCUACCAAGGCGACGAUCAGUAGCUGGUCUGAGAGGACGACCAGCCACACUGGGACUGAGACACGGCCCAGACUCCUACGGGAGGCAGCAGUGGGGAAUUUUGGACAAUGGGCGAAAGCCUGAUCCAGCAAUGCCGCGUGUGUGAAGAAGGCCUUCGGGUUGUAAAGCACUUUUGUCCGGAAAGAAAUCCUUGGCCCUAAUACGGUCGGGGGAUGACGGUACCGGAAGAAUAAGCACCGGCUAACUACGUG